AGAGUUUGAUCCUGGCUCAGGAUGAACGCUAGCGGCAGGCCUAACACAUGCAAGUCGAGGGGCAGCACAAAAGGUAGCUUGCUAUCUUUGGUGGCGACCGGCGCACGGGUGCGUAACGCGUAUGCAACCUACCCAUAACAGGGGGAUAACACUGAGAAAUUGGUACUAAUACCCCAUAACAUCAGAUGUGGCAUCACAUUUGGUUGAAAACUCCGGUGGUUAUGGAUGGGCAUGCGUUGUAUUAGCUAGUUGGUGAGGUAACGGCCCACCAAGGCGACGAUGCGUAGGGGUUCUGAGAGGAAGGUCCCCCACACUGGUACUGAGACACGGACCAGACUCCUACGGGAGGCAGCAGUGAGGAAUAUUGGUCAAUGGGCGAGAGCCUGAACCAGCCAAGUCGCGUGAGGGAAGACGGUUCUAUGGAUUGUAAACCUCUUUUGUCAGGGAGCACUAAGCCACGCGUGGUGUAAAGAGAGUACCUGAAGAAAAAGCAUCGGCUAAUUCCGUGCCAGCAGCCGCGGUAAUACGGAGGAUGCGAGCGUUAUCCGGAUUUAUUGGGUUUAAAGGGUGCGUAGGCGGACUAUUAAGUCAGCGGUUAAACUGCGGAGCUCAACUCCGUAUCGCCGUUGAAACUGGUAAUCUAGAGUGGGUGAGAAGUAUGCGGAAUGCGUGGUGUAGCGGUGAAAUGCAUAGAUAUCACGCAGAACUCCGAUUGCGAAGGCAGCAUACCGGCACCCAACUGACGCUGAAGCACGAAAGCGUGGGUAUCGAACAGGAUUAGAUACCCUGGUAGUCCACGCAGUAAACGAUGAAUACUAAUUGUUUGGCAAAAAUGAUUGCUGAGUGAUACAGCGAAAGCGUUAAGUAUUCCACCUGGGGAGUACGCCGGCAACGGUGAAACUCAAAGGAAUUGACGGGGGCCCGCACAAGCGGAGGAACAUGUGGUUUAAUUCGAUGAUACGCGAGGAACCUUACCCGGGCUCAAACGACAGGGGAAUAUAUCCGAAAGGCUAUAGCUAGUAAUAGUCGCUGUCGAGGUGCUGCAUGGUUGUCGUCAGCUCGUGCCGUGAGGUGUCGGCUUAAGUGCCAUAACGAGCGCAACCCCUAUUGAUAGUUGCUAACAGGUCAAGCUGAGGACUCUAUCGAGACUGCCGGCGCAAGCUGAGAGGAAGGCGGGGAUGACGUCAAAUCAGCACGGCCCUUACGUCCGGGGCGACACACGUGUUACAAUGGCAGGUACAGCGGGAAGCCAGGUGGUGACAUCGAGCAGAACCCGAAAACCUGUCUCAGUUCGGAUUGGAGUCUGCAACUCGACUCCAUGAAGCUGGAUUCGCUAGUAAUCGCGCAUCAGCCAUGGCGCGGUGAAUACGUUCCCGGGCCUUGUACUCACCGCCCGUCA
Molecule: ribosomal RNA, 1399 nt
Filed under: uncultured bacterium
Lineage: Bacteria
Description: bacterial SSU rRNA
Rfam family: Bacterial small subunit ribosomal RNA
Source: RNAcentral